AUCCAGCUGACGAUUCUCAAGUAGGAAGAAACGCGUGUCUUGGAU
Molecule: non-coding RNA, 45 nt
Organism: Schistosoma haematobium
Lineage: Eukaryota; Metazoa; Platyhelminthes; Trematoda; Strigeidida; Schistosomatidae
Source: Rfam